GCGAGUCGAAUGUAGCAAUACAUGGCGUACUGCUCAGUAACACGUGGACAACCUACCCUCCGGACGGGUAUAAACCCGGGAAACUGGGUAUAAUCCCCGAUAGAUCUCGGUCGCUGGAAAGCCCCGAGAUCGAAAGCUCCGGCGCCAGAGGAUGGGUCUGCGGCCUAUCAGGUAGUAGUGGGUGUAGCGUACCUACUAGCCUACGACGGGUACGGGUUGUGAGAGCAAGAGCCCGGAGAUGGAUUCUGAGACACGAAUCCAGGCCCUACGGGGUGCAGCAGGCGCGAAAACUUUACAAUGCCGGCGACGGCGAUAAGGGGACCUCGAGUGCCAGGUUACAAAUCUGGCUGUCGUGAUGCCUAAAAAGCAUUGCAUAGCAAGGGCCGGGCAAGACCGGUGCCAGCCGCCGUGGUAACACCGGCGGCUCGAGUGGUAACCGUUAUUAUUGGGUCUAAAGGGUCUGUAGCCGGCCGGAUAAGUCUCUUGAGAAAUCCAGCAGCUCAACUGUUGGGCUUUCAGGAGAUACUGUCUGGCUCGAGGCCGGGAGAGGUGAGAGGUACUUCAGGGGUAGGGGUGAAAUCUUGUAAUCCUUAAAGGACCACCAGUGGCGAAGGCGUCUCACCAGAACGGACCUGACGGCAAGGGACGAAAGCUAGGGGCACGAACCGGAUUAGAUACCCGGGUAGUCCUAGCCGUAAACGAUACUCGCUAGGUGUCGGCCACGGUGCGACCGUUGUCGGUGCCGUAGGGAAGCCGUGAAGCGAGCCACCUGGGAAGUACGGCCGCAAGGCUGAAACUUAAAGGAAUUGGCGGGGGAGCACCACAACGGGUGGAGCUUGCGG
Molecule: ribosomal RNA, 842 nt
Filed under: uncultured archaeon
Lineage: Archaea
Description: bacterial SSU rRNA
Rfam family: Archaeal small subunit ribosomal RNA
Source: RNAcentral